Molecule: ribosomal RNA, 498 nt
Filed under: uncultured bacterium
Lineage: Bacteria
Description: partial 16S ribosomal RNA
Rfam family: Bacterial small subunit ribosomal RNA
Source: RNAcentral
ACUCAAAUGAAUUGACGGGGGCCCGCACAAGCGGUGGAGCAUGUGGUUCAAUUCGACGCAACGCGAAGAACCUUACCUGGGUUUGAACUGCAGGUGACUGCUCUGGAAACAGAGUUUUUCUUCGGAACGCCUGCAGAGGUGCUGCAUGGCUGUCGUCAGCUCGUGUCGUGAGAUGUUGGGUUAAGUCCCGCAACGAGCGCAACCCUUGCCCUUAGUUGCCAGCGGAUAAUGCCGGGCACUCUAAGGGGACUGCCCCGGAAAACGGGGAGGAAGGUGGGGAUGACGUCAAGUCAUCAUGGCCUUUAUGCCCAGGGCUACACACGUGCUACAAUGGGCGGUACAAAGGGCUGCGAACCCGCGAGGGGGAGCCAAUCCCAUAAAACCGUCCUCAGUUCGGAUUGCAGUCUGCAACUCGACUGCAUGAAGGUGGAAUCGCUAGUAAUCGCGGAUCAGCACGCCGCGGUGAAUACGUUCCCGGGCCUUGUACACACCGCCCGU